GAUGAAGACGUAGCGAAAUGCGAUAAGUAGUGUGAAUUGCAGAAUUCAGUGAAUCAUCGAAUCUUUGAACGCACAUUGCGCCCUAUAGUAUUCUGUAGGGCAUGCAUGUUCGAGCGUCAUUUGUACCUUCAAGCUUUGCUUGGUGUUGGGUGUUUGUCCUCUCCCUGGUGUUUGGACUCGCCUUAAAACAAUUGGCAGCCAGUGUUUUGGUAUUGAAGCGCAGCACAAUUUGCGAUUCUGGCCUUAAAAUACUAGCGUCCAUAAGUACAUUCUCACUUUUGACCUCGGAUCAUGUAGGGAUACCCGCUGAACUUAAGCAUAUCAAUAAGCGGAGGA
RNAcentral lists this unclassified non-coding RNA (336 nucleotides) under soil metagenome. RNAcentral's name for it is "partial contains 5.8S ribosomal RNA, internal transcribed spacer 2, and large subunit ribosomal RNA". The stretch from base 1 to 119 matches the Rfam family "5.8S ribosomal RNA", at positions 35 to 154 of the family's 154-position model. The record is from RNAcentral.